RNAcentral lists this ribosomal RNA (261 nucleotides) under uncultured prokaryote. RNAcentral's name for it is "partial 16S ribosomal RNA". It matches the Rfam family "Bacterial small subunit ribosomal RNA", at positions 524 to 784 of the family's 1533-position model. The record is from RNAcentral.
UACGUAGGUGGCGAGCGUUGUCCGGAAUUACUGGGUGUAAAGGGUGCGUAGGCGGGCAGGCAAGUUGGAUAUGAAAUACCGGGGCUUAACUCCGGGGCUGCAUCCAAAACUGCAUGUCUUGAGUGAAGUAGAGGCAAGCGGAAUUCCCAGUGUAGCGGUGAAAUGCGUAGAGAUUGGGAGGAACACCAGUGGCGAAGGCGGCUUGCUAGGCUUUAACUGACGCUGAUGCACGAAAGCAUGGGGAGCAAACAGGAUUAGAUA